GACGAACGCUGGCGGCGUGCCUAAUACAUGCAAGUCGAGCGGAUUGAUGGGAGCUUGCUCCCUGGUAUCAGCGGCGGACGGGUGAGUAACACGUGGGCAACCUGCCUAUAAGACUGGGAUAACUUCGGGAAACCGGAGCUAAUACCGGAUAAUCCCUUUCCUCUCAUGAGGAAAGGCUGAAAGAUGGUUUACGCUAUCACUUAUAGAUGGGCCCGCGGCGCAUUAGCUAGUUGGUGAGGUAACGGCUCACCAAGGCAACGAUGCGUAGCCGACCUGAGAGGGUGAUCGGCCACACUGGGACUGAGACACGGCCCAGACUCCUACGGGAGGCAGCAGUAGGGAAUCUUCCGCAAUGGACGAAAGUCUGACGGAGCAACGCCGCGUGAGUGAUGAAGGUUUUCGGAUCGUAAAACUCUGUUGUUAGGGAAGAACAAGUACGAGAGUAACUGCUCGUACCUUGACGGUACCUAACCAGAAAGCCACGGCUAACUACGUGCCAGCCGCCGCAGUA
This 511-nucleotide ribosomal RNA is filed under the name uncultured bacterium. Its description in RNAcentral is "partial 16S ribosomal RNA". It matches the Rfam family "Bacterial small subunit ribosomal RNA", at positions 28 to 522 of the family's 1533-position model. The record is from RNAcentral.